Long non-coding RNA from Esox lucius (northern pike), 2829 nucleotides. The record is from Ensembl. NCBI's taxonomy places the organism in Eukaryota, Metazoa, Chordata, Actinopteri, Esociformes, Esocidae.
CAUAACAUUAUGACCACUGACAGGUGAAGUGAGUAACACUGAUAAUCUCGUUAUCAUGGCAUCUGUCUGUGGGUGGGAUAUAUUAGGCAGCAAGUGAACAUUCUGUCCUCAAACUGGAUGUGUCAGAAGCAGGAAAAAUAGGCAAGCGUAAGGAUCUGAGCGACUUUAACAAGGGCCAAAUUGUGAUGGCUGGACGACUGGGUAAGAGUAUAUCCAGAAUGCAGCCCUUUUGGGUUGUUCCUGGUCUGCAGUGGUCAGUACCUAUCAAAAGUGGUCCAAGGAAGGAAAAGCGUUGAACCGGCGACAGGGUCAUGGACGACCAAGGCUCAUUGACGCACGUGGGGAGCGAAGCCUGGCCUGUGUGGUCCAAUUCAACAGAUGCAAUAGAAGAAGGUGGUCUGACGAAUGAAACAAAUGGCACCAGGAUGCACUAUGGGAAGGAAUCAAGCCGGCGGAGGCAGUGUGAUGCUUUCGACAAUGUCCUGCUGGGAAACCUUGGGUCCUGCCAUUCAUGUGGAUGUUACUUUGACACCAACCACCUACCUGAGCGUUGUUGCGGACCAUGUGCACCCUUUCAUGGCAACGGUAUUCCCUCACGGCAUUGGCCUCUUUCAGCAGGAUAAUGCGCCCUGCCACAAAGCAAAAAUGGCUCAGGAAUGGUUUGAGAAACAGAACAACGAGUUCAAUGUGUCGACUUGGCCUCCAAAUUCCCCGGACGUCAAUCGAGCAUUUGUGGGAUGUGCUGGACAAACAGGUCCAAUCCAUGGAGAACCCACCUCGCAACUUACAGGACUUAAAGGAUCUGCUGCUAGUUUCUUGGUGCCAGAUACCACAGCACACCUUCAGAGGUCUAGUGGAGUCCAUGCCUCGAAUGAGUCAGGGCUGUUUUAUAACUGGGGUCUUAUAUCCCCAGUUAAAAGAGGGUGGGCACACUUAUGCAACCAGGUUAUUGUGAGUUUUUUAUUUUUCCCCCUCAAAGAUUUGUUAGGUUUUUUUUUUUCUCAAUUGAAUUGUUCACAUUAUAGGUCACAUUUAAGGUGGAAAUAGUUCUGACAUGAUUUAUCCCUGUCUCAUUCUUUAACAUCACAAGAACCUGGCAUUUUAACAGGGGUGUGUAGACUUUAUAUAUCCACUGUAUAAAUAAAUUAAUACAAGUCGACUUUAAGUCGUUCAUCUGUAACAUGGUAGUAUUCUUCAUACCAGGUUUAGAGCAUAACUCACAACCAUGUAGCUACUUAAAGUCACACACCAAGUAACGUUUUCAUAAUGACUUACUUCAGCGAAUCACAUGACUGCGAGUGGCGGCUUCAAACGGAGGCAAGACACGUGGGAAACAUACAUUAGGGGGUUUGGAUGAAGCUGCUGAAGCAGAUCAGUGACCAGUAGACUGAGCUGGUAUGACCAAUGCCCACGCGUAGUCCUUUGCUUUGAGCUAGUCCAGGAACUAGAUCACUGUCUCCCUAAAAAUAGUGCACAGUGCAGUACGUGUGUGUGUAGUUCGGGGUUGCCUGUGUGUGUUGCUCCUGCUCCAUUUAGUCAUGGCAGUGAUGGCAGAGGUGCCAGAGGAGCAAAGAUGGCAGGGGAGCAGAGAAGGCAGGUGGGCAGGAGUGGCAGGGGAAUAGAGGUAGCAGGAGAGCAGAGGUAGCAGGGGAGCAGAGGUAGCAGGGGAGCAGAGGUAGCAGGGGAGCAGAGGUAGCAGGAGAGCAGAGGUAACAGGAGAGUAGAGGUAGCAGGGGAGCAGAGGUAGCAGGAGAGCAGAGGUAGCAGGGGAGUAGAGGUAGCAGGUGAGUAGAGGUAGCAGGGGAGUAGAGGUAGCAGGUGAGUAGAGGUAGCAGGGGAGUAGAGGUAGCAGGGGAGUAGAGGUAGCAGGGGAGUAGAGGUAGCAGGGGAGUAGAGGUAACAGGAGAGUAGAGGUAGCAGGGGAGUAGAGGUAGCAGGGGAGUAGAGGUAGCAGGGGAGUAGAGGUAACAGGGGAGUAGAGGUAGCAGGGGAGCAGAGGUAACAGGGGAGUAGAGGUAGCAGGGGAGUAGAGGUAGCAGGGGAGCAGAGGUAACAGGGGAGUAGAGGUAGCAGGGGAGCAGAGGUAGCAGGGGAGCAGAGGCUCCAGGGUCUAAAUGUGUUUCCUGUGUCUGACGGUUUGGAGGUUACUGGGUAUCAGAACACACUGCUCCUGCACAGCAUAGACAUUUUCCAUUCUGUCAGCGCGAGCACACUAGCUCCUUCCAAACUCAGCGCCACUUCAUUAAAUGACUUCAGACUCUUGGCAGAGGCAGUGGGAAAAGUCUAUAUUAACUGUGUGUGAGAUCCACUGGGCGGCCAACAAAGGCCAUAGUUGUUCCCCGGCACCAGUCGCUGCUGGCGGGGAGGGGUACUGGGACUGGAGGGUACCCCUUUAGGUUAGGCACUGCAGACGAUACGGCACCCCAAAAAAUUAAAUCAACCAGGACCCAGGUGGUCUCACCCCUGACUUACCUUGGGAGGAAGUACGGUCAGAGCUGUGACCUAUGGUGAUAAUAAAAUGGCUGAAAUACCUGGUUCAGUUUAGCGGCGGGCACAGGGAGCUUUGGAGCAAACUUUGCCCUGCAGGGCAAGCAGAUCUGCUCGCGUGUAUACAGGAGGUUGUUACGUUUUGCGGCAGGCAAAAUGCAGUGCAGGGAACUGAACCAUUUACUCUGCACAUUUCAAAGAUUUCAUUAAAGGGUACAGGUCUGCAAGAAAACAUGCUGUAACUUUACAGAACCAGUCCACCACAGUCAGCCCGACUGUUGCCCAGUUCACAUACACCAGGGCAGCCACAUCAAACUCUGAUGGAAGACUAUGUAAAUAUAC